RNAcentral lists this ribosomal RNA (897 nucleotides) under Escherichia coli. RNAcentral's name for it is "partial 23S ribosomal RNA". It matches the Rfam family "Bacterial large subunit ribosomal RNA", at positions 254 to 1191 of the family's 2925-position model. Lineage: Bacteria; Pseudomonadati; Pseudomonadota; Gammaproteobacteria; Enterobacterales; Enterobacteriaceae. The record is from RNAcentral.
CGAACGGGGAGGAGCCCAGAGCCUGAAUCAGUGUGUGUGUUAGUGGAAGCGUCUGGAAAGGCGCGCGAUACAGGGUGACAGCCCCGUACACAAAAAUGCACAUACUGUGAGCUCGAUGAGUAGGGCGGGACACGUGGUAUCCUGUCUGAAUAUGGGGGGACCAUCCUCCAAGGCUAAAUACUCCUGACUGACCGAUAGUGAACCAGUACCGUGAGGGAAAGGCGAAAAGAACCCCGGCGAGGGGAGUGAAAAAGAACCUGAAACCGUGUACGUACAAGCAGUGGGAGCCUCUUUUAUGGGGUGACUGCGUACCUUUUGUAUAAUGGGUCAGCGACUUAUAUUCUGUAGCAAGGUUAACCGAAUAGGGGAGCCGAAGGGAAACCGAGUCUUAACUGGGCGUUAAGUUGCAGGGUAUAGACCCGAAACCCGGUGAUCUAGCCAUGGGCAGGUUGAAGGUUGGGUAACACUAACUGGAGGACCGAACCGACUAAUGUUGAAAAAUUAGCGGAUGACUUGUGGCUGGGGGUGAAAGGCCAAUCAAACCGGGAGAUAGCUGGUUCUCCCCGAAAGCUAUUUAGGUAGCGCCUCGUGAAUUCAUCUCCGGGGGUAGAGCACUGUUUCGGCAAGGGGGUCAUCCCGACUUACCAACCCGAUGCAAACUGCGAAUACCGGAGAAUGUUAUCACGGGAGACACACGGCGGGUGCUAACGUCCGUCGUGAAGAGGGAAACAACCCAGACCGCCAGCUAAGGUCCCAAAGUCAUGGUUAAGUGGGAAACGAUGUGGGAAGGCCCAGACAGCCAGGAUGUUGGCUUAGAAGCAGCCAUCAUUUAAAGAAAGCGUAAUAGCUCACUGGUCGAGUCGGCCUGCGCGGAAGAUGUAACGGGGCUAAACCAUG